Brienomyrus brachyistius is the source of this 1011-nucleotide non-coding RNA. The record is from the annotation of a RefSeq genome assembly. NCBI's taxonomy places the organism in Eukaryota, Metazoa, Chordata, Actinopteri, Osteoglossiformes, Mormyridae.
UGCUUAUAAUCCUCUUCAUAACACUUCAUGACUGACAGCUGUCUGUACUUCACAGCGACAGACACCAACACAGCUAUGGCGUCUAUCAGCAUCUUCAUUGUGGUCUUUGCCUUUUUCACUCAAGAAUCCAGUGGUCAGGUCACUGUGACUCAGACUCCUGCAGUAAAGGCUGUUCUCCAUGGACAGACUGUCACUAUGAGCUGUAAAGUCAGUUCGGCUGUGUAUGGCAAUGAUUAUUUAGCCUGGUAUCUACAGAAACCUGGAGAAGCUCCUAAACUUUUAAUCUACAGAGCAACAGAACUUUACUCAGGGAUUCCGUCUAGAUUCACUGGCAGCGGAUUUGCUACUGACUUCACUCUGACCAUCAGUGGAGUCCAGGCUGAAGAUGCAGGAGAUUAUUACUGUCAGAGUCACCAUAAUGGCGGUCCGUGGACUUUCGGCGGCGGGACCAGACUGGAUGUUGGCAGUAACAGAGCCCCCACCCUGACGGUCCUGCCCCCCUCCAGUGUGGAGGUGUCCAGCAAGAACACGGCCACCCUGAUGUGCCUGGCCAACAGGGGCUUCCCCUCCGACUGGAAGCUAAGCUGGAAGGUGGACGGUAGCAGCAAAGUGGUGGAGACGAGCCGCGGGCUCCUGGAGAAGGAUGGCCUGUACAGCUGGAGCAGCAGCCUGAGCCUCACUGCGGACGAGUGGAAGAAGGCGGGCUCAGUGGUCUGUGAGGCCAAUCAGGGCUCCCAGGCUCCUGUCACUCAGACGCUGACGAGGGCCGACUGUUCAGAGUAAAUGAGCUCAGCGUCACCUGUGAUGAGCGGCUGAUUACUGUGUUUUUACCGUGUUGUGCUACACGCUUCUGAUUUAGUGAUGAUAUAGAAAAAAUAAUGUGCUUUGUAUGAUCCAUGACUGAAUGUCUUUACUAAUGUUUUAUGGGCUUUUGUGCCACAUUAUAUUAUCUUGUGUAUCUUAUUCCUGAAAGCUGCAGAGCUAAAUAAAUAUUUCAUUCUGUCUGACAAA